RNAcentral lists this ribosomal RNA (423 nucleotides) under uncultured bacterium. RNAcentral's name for it is "partial 16S ribosomal RNA". It matches the Rfam family "Bacterial small subunit ribosomal RNA", at positions 361 to 776 of the family's 1533-position model. The record is from RNAcentral.
AUUUUGUACAAUGGGGGAAACCCUGAUCCAGCCAUCCCGCGUGUAUGAUGAAGGCCUUCGGGUUGUAAAGUACUUUUGGCAGGACAGAAAAGGUAUCUCAUAAAACGAGAUACUGCUGACGGUAUCUGCAGACAAAGCACCGGCCAACUACAUGACAGCAGCCGCGGUAAUACGUAGGGUGCAAGCGUUAAUCGGAAUUACUGGGCGUAAAGCGUGUGUAGGCGGUUCGGAAAGAAAGAUGUGAAAUCCCAGGGCUCAACCUUGGAACUGCAUUUUUAACUGCCGAGCUAGAGUAUGUCAGAGGGGGGUAGAAUUCCACGUGUAGCAGUGAAAUGCGUAGAUAUGUGGAGGAAUACCGAUGGCGAAGGCAGCCCCCUGGGAUAAUACUGACGCUCAGACACGAAAGCGUGGGGAGCAAACAGG